This 256-nucleotide ribosomal RNA is filed under the name uncultured bacterium. RNAcentral describes it as "partial 16S ribosomal RNA". It matches the Rfam family "Bacterial small subunit ribosomal RNA", at positions 524 to 776 of the family's 1533-position model. The record is from RNAcentral.
UACGUAGGGGGGCAAGCGUUUGUCCGGAUUUAUUGGGCGUAAAGAGCUCGUAGGUGGUUCGGUAAGUCGGAUGUGAAAUCUCCAGGCUCAACCUGGAGGGGUCAUUCGAUACUGCCGUGACUAGAGUUCGGUAGGGGAGUGUGGAAUUCCUGGUGGAGCGGUGAAAUGCGCAGAUAUCAGGAGGAACACCGAUGGCGAAGGCAGGUCUCUGGACAUUAACUGACGCUGAGGAGCGAAAGCAUGGGGAGCGAACAGG